UACGGAGGGUGCAAGCGUUAUCCGGAUUCACUGGGUUUAAAGGGUGCGUAGGCGGGUUGGUAAGUCAGCGGUGAAAUCCCCGAGCUUAACUUGGGAACUGCCGUUGAUACUAUCAAUCUUGAAUAUCGUGGAGGUAAGCGGAAUAUGUCAUGUAGCGGUGAAAUGCUUAGAUAUGACAUAGAACACCAAUUGCGGAGGCAGCUUACUACACGAUCAUUGACGCUGAGGCACGAAAGCGUGGGGAGCAAACAGG
Molecule: ribosomal RNA, 253 nt
Filed under: uncultured bacterium
Lineage: Bacteria
Description: partial 16S ribosomal RNA
Rfam family: Bacterial small subunit ribosomal RNA
Source: RNAcentral